GACGAACCACACGAACGUUAUUCGGAAUUACUGGGCUUAAAGGGUGCGUAGGCUGUGCGGAAAGUUAGGUGUGAAAUCCCCCGGCUCAACCGGGGAAUAGCGCUUAAAACUACCGUGCUGGAGGAAGACAGAGGUGAGCGGAACUUCGGGUGGAGCGGUGAAAUGCGUUGAUAUCCGAAGGAACACCGGUGGCGAAAGCGGCUCACUGGGUCUUUUCUGACGCUGAUGCACGAAAGCUAGGGGAGCAAACGGG
RNAcentral lists this ribosomal RNA (253 nucleotides) under uncultured bacterium. RNAcentral's name for it is "partial 16S ribosomal RNA". It matches the Rfam family "Bacterial small subunit ribosomal RNA", at positions 524 to 776 of the family's 1533-position model. The record is from RNAcentral.